UACAGAGGUCCCAAGCGUUGUUCGGAUUCACUGGGCGUAAAGGGUGCGUAGGCGGUCGGGUAAGUCUGAUGUGAAAUCUCACAGCUUAACUGUGAAACUGCAUUGGAUACUAUCCGGCUCGAGGAAUGGAGGGGAGACUGGAAUACUUGGUGCAGCAGUGAAAUGCGUAGAUAUCAAGUGGAACACCAGUGGCGAAGGCGAGUCUCUGGACAUUUCCUGACGCUGAGGCACGAAAGCCAGGGGAGCAAACGGG
RNAcentral lists this ribosomal RNA (253 nucleotides) under uncultured bacterium. RNAcentral describes it as "partial 16S ribosomal RNA". It matches the Rfam family "Bacterial small subunit ribosomal RNA", at positions 524 to 776 of the family's 1533-position model. The record is from RNAcentral.